GUGAAUCAUCGAAUUUUUGAACGCAAAUUGCACUCCCUGGUAUUCCGGGGAGUAUGCCUGUUUGAGGGUCGUUAGAACAAAAAUCGAAGCGUCGCUCUUUUUUUUUAAGGGUGAUCGCGUCGGAAUUUAGCCGUCGUUCAAAUGUUAAUUUAUUUUAAAAUGGAUUGUCAUUCAUACAUCCCGU
This 184-nucleotide unclassified non-coding RNA is filed under the name Glomeraceae sp. Its description in RNAcentral is "partial contains 5.8S ribosomal RNA and internal transcribed spacer 2". The stretch from base 1 to 71 matches the Rfam family "5.8S ribosomal RNA", at positions 84 to 154 of the family's 154-position model. Lineage: Eukaryota; Fungi; Glomeromycota; Glomeromycetes; Glomerales; Glomeraceae. The record is from RNAcentral.